RNAcentral lists this ribosomal RNA (321 nucleotides) under Onchocerca lupi. RNAcentral describes it as "partial small subunit ribosomal RNA". The record is from RNAcentral. Lineage: Eukaryota; Metazoa; Nematoda; Chromadorea; Rhabditida; Onchocercidae.
UUUCGGGAGUAAAGUUUUGUUUAAACCGAAAAAAUAUUGACUGACUUUAGAUUUUUCUUUGGAAUAUGUGAUUUUGUUGGAGAGCCCUCUUUUUUGGUAAAUUUUGUUGGCACAUGUAUGAUUGUUUAGUUUUUAUUUUAUUUUGUAAUGCUUUUUUUGUUUUGGCAUUUAAAACAGAUAUAUAUUUGGUUUAUAAAUUUAUUUUUCAUGUGUUACUAUUAUAAAUUUUUUUUGGAUUAAUUUUUUAUUUUUUUUUGAAAUUGGAAAAGAAAGUAAUUUUUUCUUUAUGUUUUAAUGAAUUUAAUAAAUAAGGUGGUACAA